UACGUAGGGUGCAAGCGUUGUCCGGAAUUAUUGGGCGUAAAGAGCUCGUAGGUGGCGGGUCACGUCGGGUGUGAAAGCCCGGGGCUUAACCCCGGGUCUGCAUUCGAUACGGGUCUGCUGGGGUCCGGCAGGGGAGACUGGAAUUCCUGGUGUAGCGGUGAAAUGCGCAGAUAUCAGGAGGAACACCGGUGGCGAAGGCGGGUCUCUGGACCGACACUGACGCUGAGGCGCGAAAGCGUGGGGAGCAAACAGG
RNAcentral lists this ribosomal RNA (253 nucleotides) under uncultured bacterium. RNAcentral describes it as "partial 16S ribosomal RNA". It matches the Rfam family "Bacterial small subunit ribosomal RNA", at positions 524 to 776 of the family's 1533-position model. The record is from RNAcentral.